CUGGACCUCAGCUCAGGCG
This 19-nucleotide ribosomal RNA is filed under the name Lubomirskia baikalensis. RNAcentral's name for it is "partial 28S ribosomal RNA". The record is from RNAcentral. RNAcentral also lists the same sequence under 7 other names. Lineage: Eukaryota; Metazoa; Porifera; Demospongiae; Spongillida; Lubomirskiidae.